CUAAAGGCUCUUUUAAGAAGCCACACAAAUUGCCAAGAAAGAUACA
This is a non-coding RNA of Strongylocentrotus purpuratus (purple sea urchin), 46 nucleotides long. The record is from Rfam. Lineage: Eukaryota; Metazoa; Echinodermata; Echinoidea; Camarodonta; Strongylocentrotidae.